GACGAACGCUGGCGGCGUGCUUAACACAUGCAAGUCGAGCGGUAAGGCCCUUUCGGGGGUACACGAGCGGCGAACGGGUGAGUAACACGUGGGUGACCUGCCCUCAGCUCUGGGAUAAGCCUGGGAAACUGGGUCUAAUACUGGAUAUGACUCCACGGUGCAUGUCGUGGGGUGGAAAGCCUUGUGCGGCUGGGGGAUGGGCCCGCGGCCUAUCAGCUUGUUGGUGGGGUGAUGGCCUACCAAGGCGACGACGGGUAGCCGGCCUGAGAGGGCGACCGGCCACACUGGGACUGAGACACGGCCCAGACUCCUACGGGAGGCAGCAGUGGGGAAUCUUGCGCAAUGGGCGAAAGCCUGACGCAGCGACGCCGCGUGAGGGAUGACGGCCU
RNAcentral lists this ribosomal RNA (389 nucleotides) under uncultured bacterium. Its description in RNAcentral is "bacterial SSU rRNA". It matches the Rfam family "Bacterial small subunit ribosomal RNA", at positions 28 to 417 of the family's 1533-position model. The record is from RNAcentral.